AUUGAACGCUGGCGGCAUGCCUUACACAUGCAAGUCGAACGGUAACGAGCCUUCGGGUGCCGACACGUGGCGAACGGGUGAGUAAUACAUCGGAACGUGCCCGAUCGUGGGGGAUAACGAGGCGAAAGCUUUGCUAAUACCGCAUACGAUCUACGGAUGAAAGCAGGGGACCGCAAGGCCUUGCGCGGACGGAGCGGCCGAUGGCAGAUUAGGUAGUUGGUGGGAUAAAAGCUUACCAAGCCGACGAUCUGUAGCUGGUCUGAGAGGAUGAUCAGCCACACUGGGACUGAGACACGGCCCAGACUCCUACGGGAGGCAGCAGUGGGGAAUUUUGGACAAUGGGCGCAAGCCUGAUCCAGCCAUGCCGCGUGCAGGAUGAAGGCCUUCGGGUUGUAAACUGCUUUUGUACGGAACGAAAAGCCUUCUUUUAAUACAGGAGGGUCAUGACGGUACCGUAAGAAUAAGCACCGGCUAACUACGUG
Molecule: ribosomal RNA, 482 nt
Filed under: uncultured bacterium
Lineage: Bacteria
Description: partial 16S ribosomal RNA
Rfam family: Bacterial small subunit ribosomal RNA
Source: RNAcentral